RNAcentral lists this ribosomal RNA (509 nucleotides) under uncultured bacterium. RNAcentral's name for it is "partial 16S ribosomal RNA". The record is from RNAcentral.
GGAGUUAGCCGGUGCUUCUUCUGUGAGUGAUGUCCUUCCUGCCGGCUAUUAACCCGCAGGCCUUCUUCCUCACUGAAAGUGCUUUACAACCCGAAGGCCUUCUUCACACACGCGGCAUGGCUGGAUCAGGGUUGCCCCCAUUGUCCAAUAUUCCCCACUGCUGCCUCCCGUAGGAGUCUGGGCCGUGUCUCAGUCCCAGUGUGGCUGAUCAUCCUCUCAGACCAGCUACGGAUCGUCGCCUUGGUGAGCCGUUACCUCACCAACCAGCUAAUCCGACAUAGGCUCAUCCGAUAGCGCGAGGCCCGAAGGUCCCCCGCUUUCCCCCGUAGGGCGUAUGCGGUAUUAGCCUGGGUUUCCCCAGGUUAUCCCCCGACUACCGGGGCAGAUUCCUAUGCAUUACUCACCCGUCCGCCGCUCGCCACCAGGGAGCAAGNUCCCCGUGCUGCCGCUCGACUUGCAUGUGUUAGGCCUGCCGCCAGCGUUCAAUCUGAGCCAGAAUCGAACCCUGA